Pezoporus flaviventris is the source of this 877-nucleotide long non-coding RNA. RefSeq lists it as uncharacterized. NCBI's taxonomy places the organism in Eukaryota, Metazoa, Chordata, Aves, Psittaciformes, Psittacidae. The record is from RefSeq and is a predicted model, not a curated record. The transcript has 2 exons.
UCUUCCAUUCGUUUUAAAAUAGAAUUGGAUUUUGUUCGUGAAUGCUGGGCGCCGGGACAGCCUCCAGCGCCCGUUGCCCCGCGGCUCCAGGCUGGGUGCGGGGCAGGUUCGACGGGGCCCCGCGGCACCCCCGGGCCGCUCUAUCCUCUCGGAGGCGGUGACCCUUGCUCCGGAGCACCGGGACACGCUGCAGAGGAUGCUAACCCGGAGGGCUUGGGGGUCCCGGAGUGAGGAUCCCGGGCCAAGAGCCCCGCUCACGUCUCCCCGGUUGCAUCCCGGCGCGGCUCCCGUUAGAGGACGCGGGCAGGACCCGGGAGCGAGUCCCCUCUGCCGCCCUACCCGCGCCCUCCGCUGCCCCGCUCCGCCUCCCGCCCGGUCCCGCUCAGCCCCGCGGCCGCAGCUGCCCUGUCCCUGCGCCGCCGCUAAAAAUACCCGCCGGGCUGCCCUGGCCGCCCGCACCUCCCUCAGCCCCGCCGCCCUCUCCGCUCCCCUGCCCUGCCCUGCCGCAGGGCGGGAGCCUCCCGGCCUCGCCCGCCUCACCUGCCGGUGGCCGCCAGGCAGUUGAAGAGGUAAAGGAACCUCAAAACUUGGAGAGUACUUCUUGCAUGAAUUUCCACAGAAAAAAGGCACCAGGUCAGCAUGAGCUUGCUCAGGCCAUUAUGCAGACCUUGAAAAUGAGUUGCUCAAAAGUGUAGACACUCCCUGACCUUCUGUUUUGCUGGCUAGUGAUCAGGACAACCUUCACAGAUAUAUAAUAUAAUACUGUUGAACUUUUGUCUGCAGCCCUUGAUUUGUAGCCAUUCUGUUACAUGAGAUCAAACAAAAAGUUCUUGGGCCAAUUUGCACUGCUUACAUUAUACAAAUAUUUUUCUCUAUA